This 686-nucleotide long non-coding RNA is filed under the name Equus asinus (donkey). RNAcentral describes it as "lncRNA (ENSEASG00005028751.1)". Lineage: Eukaryota; Metazoa; Chordata; Mammalia; Perissodactyla; Equidae. The record is from RNAcentral.
CGGCUGGGCCCCAGCCUGGCACCUGGGGCUGGGAAUCCGGCUCCCGGCCCCCAUCCCCCACAGGGUCCCCUGCUGGGGUCGAAGCCUGGGACCUCGUCCCCCUGUGUUCUCGACGCGGGUUCUCUGCCUGCGAUCGGGCCCCAGAGCACCUGCUCCCUGCCCUGCUUCAAGCUGCCCUCGACUCAGCCGCUCAGCAUCCCUCGUUCUGGAUCCUGGAUCUUCACCCCCAGAGCCCCUCACAUCCCUGGAUGCUGGGGACGUGACGUGAAAACAAGACAGACAAAAGUCCUUGCCCUUAUGGAGUACGCAUUCUAGCAGAGGAAAGAGAUGGUAAACAAAUGAAUAACAUCUAUAAUGCACCUCCUACCAUCUGGCCUCCCUCCCUUCCCUAGAGGGCGAGCUCCGUGAGGUCAGAGCAUUUCGUCCGUCUUCCUGUUAAUGUCCCUCACCUGGAAACAUGCCUGGAACACAGCAGGUGCCCAUUCUAUUAGAACCAGAACCAACAGGAUAAACAUUGAGAAAAACAUGUAUUAUGAGGCAUUGACUCAUGUGAUUAUGGAGGCUGAGAAGUCCCACAGUCUGCUGUCUGUAAGCUGGAGAUUUAGAAAGCCACGGUGUAGUCCAGUCUGAGUCCGAAGGCAUGAGAACCAGGAGCACCGAUGGUGCAAGUCCCAGGUGGAGGGCAG